This is a non-coding RNA of Pelobates cultripes (western spadefoot toad), 109 nucleotides long. Lineage: Eukaryota; Metazoa; Chordata; Amphibia; Anura; Pelobatidae. The record is from the annotation of a GenBank genome assembly.
AAGGAGGCAGAAGAACAUUAUACAAAUGCUAUAAAGAAGUCCAUAUUAGAUUACCUAUUAUUGGAUCCAUUAGAACAAGAGAGGCUCGGGAUUGUAAUUCCUCCAAAGG